GCCUAACACAUGCAAGUCGAGCGGAGAAGGCAAAGAAGUUUACUUUGAUGUCUUCUCAGACGGCGGACGGGUGAGUAACACGUGGGCAACCGUGCCUCAGAGAGGGGAAUAGCCUUCCGAAAGGAAGAUUAAUACCGCAUAAGAUCACAGCAUCGCAUGGUGCAGUGAUAAAAGGAGCAAUCCGCUUUGAGAUGGGCCCGCGGCGCAUUAGCUAGUUGGUGAGGUAACGGCUCACCAAGGCCACGAUGCGUAGCCGACCUGAGAGGGUGAUCGGCCACAUUGGAACUGAGACACGGUCCAGACUCCUACGGGAGGCAGCAGUGGGGAAUAUUGCACAAUGGGCGCAAGCCUGAUGCAGCAACGCCGCGUGAGUGAUGAAGGCUUUCGAGUCGUAAAGCUCUUUGAUCAGGGACGAUAAUGACGGUACCUGAAAAACAAGCCACGGCUAACUACGUGCCAGCAGCCGCGGUAAUACGUAGGUGGCGAGCGUUGUCCGGAAUUACUGGGCGUAAAGGAUGCGUAGGUGGAUAUUUAAGUGGGAUGUGAAAUCCCUGGGGCUCAACCCAGGAAUGGCAUUCCAAACUGGAUAUCUGGAGUGCAGGAGAGGAAAGCGGAAUUCCUAGUGUAGCGGUGAAAUGCGUAGAUAUUAGGAGGAACACCAGUGGCGAAGGCGGCUUUCUGGACUGUAACUGACACUGAGGCAUGAAAGCGUGGGUAGCAAACAGGAUUAAAUACCUGGGUAGUCACGCCGUAAC
RNAcentral lists this ribosomal RNA (755 nucleotides) under uncultured bacterium. Its description in RNAcentral is "bacterial SSU rRNA". It matches the Rfam family "Bacterial small subunit ribosomal RNA", at positions 46 to 806 of the family's 1533-position model. The record is from RNAcentral.